RNAcentral lists this ribosomal RNA (1479 nucleotides) under Lactiplantibacillus plantarum. RNAcentral describes it as "bacterial SSU rRNA". It matches the Rfam family "Bacterial small subunit ribosomal RNA". The record is from RNAcentral. Lineage: Bacteria; Bacillati; Bacillota; Bacilli; Lactobacillales; Lactobacillaceae.
CGCUGGCGGCGUGCCUAAUACAUGCAAGUCGAACGAACUCUGGUAUUGAUUGGUGCUUGCAUCAUGAUUUACAUUUGAGUGAGUGGCGAACUGGUGAGUAACACGUGGGAAACCUGCCCAGAAGCGGGGGAUAACACCUGGAAACAGAUGCUAAUACCGCAUAACAACUUGGACCGCAUGGUCCGAGCUUGAAAGAUGGCUUCGGCUAUCACUUUUGGAUGGUCCCGCGGCGUAUUAGCUAGAUGGUGGGGUAACGGCUCACCAUGGCAAUGAUACGUAGCCGACCUGAGAGGGUAAUCGGCCACAUUGGGACUGAGACACGGCCCAAACUCCUACGGGAGGCAGCAGUAGGGAAUCUUCCACAAUGGACGAAAGUCUGAUGGAGCAACGCCGCGUGAGUGAAGAAGGGUUUCGGCUCGUAAAACUCUGUUGUUAAAGAAGAACAUAUCUGAGAGUAACUGUUCAGGUAUUGACGGUAUUUAACCAGAAAGCCACGGCUAACUACGUGCCAGCAGCCGCGGUAAUACGUAGGUGGCAAGCGUUGUCCGGAUUUAUUGGGCGUAAAGCGAGCGCAGGCGGUUUUUUAAGUCUGAUGUGAAAGCCUUCGGCUCAACCGAAGAAGUGCAUCGGAAACUGGGAAACUUGAGUGCAGAAGAGGACAGUGGAACUCCAUGUGUAGCGGUGAAAUGCGUAGAUAUAUGGAAGAACACCAGUGGCGAAGGCGGCUGUCUGGUCUGUAACUGACGCUGAGGCUCGAAAGUAUGGGUAGCAAACAGGAUUAGAUACCCUGGUAGUCCAUACCGUAAACGAUGAAUGCUAAGUGUUGGAGGGUUUCCGCCCUUCAGUGCUGCAGCUAACGCAUUAAGCAUUCCGCCUGGGGAGUACGGCCGCAAGGCUGAAACUCAAAGGAAUUGACGGGGGCCCGCACAAGCGGUGGAGCAUGUGGUUUAAUUCGAAGCUACGCGAAGAACCUUACCAGGUCUUGACAUACUAUGCAAAUCUAAGAGAUUAGACGUUCCCUUCGGGGACAUGGAUACAGGUGGUGCAUGGUUGUCGUCAGCUCGUGUCGUGAGAUGUUGGGUUAAGUCCCGCAACGAGCGCAACCCUUAUUAUCAGUUGCCAGCAUUAAGUUGGGCACUCUGGUGAGACUGCCGGUGACAAACCGGAGGAAGGUGGGGAUGACGUCAAAUCAUCAUGCCCCUUAUGACCUGGGCUACACACGUGCUACAAUGGAUGGUACAACGAGUUGCGAACUCGCGAGAGUAAGCUAAUCUCUUAAAGCCAUUCUCAGUUCGGAUUGUAGGCUGCAACUCGCCUACAUGAAGUCGGAAUCGCUAGUAAUCGCGGAUCAGCAUGCCGCGGUGAAUACGUUCCCGGGCCUUGUACACACCGCCCGUCACACCAUGAGAGUUUGUAACACCCAAAGUCGGUGGGGUAACCUUUUAGGAACCAGCCGCCUAAGGUGGGACAGAUGAUUAG